Molecule: ribosomal RNA, 253 nt
Filed under: uncultured bacterium
Lineage: Bacteria
Description: partial 16S ribosomal RNA
Rfam family: Bacterial small subunit ribosomal RNA
Source: RNAcentral
UACGGAGGGUGCAAGCGUUAUCCGGAUUCACUGGGUUUAAAGGGCGCGUAGGAGGGCAGGUAAGUCAGUGGUGAAAUCUUCGAGCUUAACUCGGAAACUGCCGUUGAUACUAUCUGUCUUGAAUACCGUGGAGAUGAGCGGAAUAUGUCAUGUAGCGGUGAAAUGCUUAGAUAUGACAUAGAACACCAAUUGCGAAGGCAGCUUACUAUGGUUUUAUUGACACUGAGGCACGAAAGCGUGGGGAUCAAACAGG